Molecule: long non-coding RNA, 1785 nt
Organism: Equus caballus (horse)
Lineage: Eukaryota; Metazoa; Chordata; Mammalia; Perissodactyla; Equidae
Source: Ensembl
AUCUAAUUCAAAAUGGUACCUAACAACCAUGAAAACAGAAAAAUAAGAAAAAUUUGCAAAACCAAGACAAAUUAUUGAAUGCCAGAAUCUGAAAGGAAUUACAGACUGGACUGAGGACAAUCUUUGGGCUUCUUUUUUUACCACCCCCCUAUUCCAAUCUACCGUAAUCUGUUAUUCGGAAUUUUGCAAUAGCUUCCUAAGAGGGCUCCGUGAGUCUGCUUUUGGCUUUCUUCAGUCUGUUCUUAACACUGAAGCCAGAGUGAUUUUGUUAAGAUAGAUCAGAUCACAUCACUGGCUACUCAAAAUCCCCCACUGGUUUCCCAUCUUUCUCCAUAAAAACCAAAGUCACUACAGUGGCCUAUGAGGCCCUACAGGCCACAUGUUCUCUCUCAGACCACAUGUCCUCCCAUACCGGCACUUUGUUCACCCUGCUCCACCCACACUGGCUUCUCUGUCAUUUUCCAGGCACACCAGGCAUGUACCACUUCAGGAGCCUUGUGCUUGUCAAUUCUUUCUGCCUGGAAUGUGGUCCCUCCCUCAGAUUUCCAAUGUGGCUCACUUUGUUACCUCCUUCAGGUCAUCGCUCAAAUGCUACCUUCCCACAAGGGCUUCCUUGCUUUAUUUUUCUCCAUAGAAAUCAUUACCAUCCAAUUUAGUGUAUGUUUCACAGAUUUAAUUUGCUUAUACUGUCUCCACCCCUCCGACCCCACUAGGAUGAAAGCUCCAUACAGGCGUGGCCUUUUGUCCUUUUUGUUUCCUAGAGUAUCUCAAGUGUCUGACAUAUAGUAAAAGCUUAGUAAAUACUGGUUGAAUUAAUUUGCUGGGAAUUUGAGGUUUUCAGAUAUCACAUUGGAUUAGAAAACCAACACAUUAGGCCAUGGCAGGGCAGGGGGUGAAAGGGAGUAGCGUUCUCAAUAAAGCAGAACCUUCUAGAAACAGUGAGUUCUAGCAAAAUCCUGCAUGGAAGAGUUGGCAGAGGAACUCUAUCCCUCUUUGUUUUUUCUUUUUCUAUGAAAAAGGCCAGAUACUAAAUAUUUUAAGCUUUGUGAGCCAUAUGGUCUCUUUCACAACUUCUCAAUUCUGCCUUAGAAGCAUGAAAGCAGCAACAGACAACUCGUAAACAAAUGAGCACGGGUGUGAUCCAGUGAAACUACAAAAACACAGGAUUUGACUUGUGGGCCAUCGUUUGCUAACUGCUAGUCUAGAACAAUGGUUCACAACUUUACUGCAAAUUGGAAUCACCUCAGGAUGUUUAAAAAUAUUAAUGCCUGGCUCCCACCUCCAAGCAUCAAGAAUUUUGUUGUCGUUGUUUUGUUUUGGGGUUUUUUUGAUGUUUUGUUUUGUUUUUUGAGGAAGAUUAGCCCUGAGCUAACAUCUGCUGCCAAUUCUCUUUUUGCUGAGGAAGACUGGCCCUGAGCUAACAUCCGUGCCCAUCUUCCUCUCUUUUAUAUGUGGGACGCCUACCACAGCAUGGCUUGCCAAGUGGUGCCACGUCCGCACCCGGGAUCCGAACCGGCGAACCCCGGGCCGCCAAAGUGGAACGUGCAAACUUAACUGCUGUGCCACCAGCCUGGCCCCCAAGCAUCAAGCGUUUUACAAGUUUCUCAGCUAAUCAGAGAGCUAGGGCUGCAAGGCAACAGGUGAACAGAAUUCACAAGUGUGGCCCCUCUGAGGAGAGGUGAUACACCCAAACUGUGUCAUCUCUGACAGAACAUGGGAGGAAAAACUAGCAACCAAAAGAGUAGGUAAGAAAACAACUGAUAUUUUGACAAUUUCUUAAAAGCC